Molecule: long non-coding RNA, 1332 nt
Organism: Amphiprion ocellaris (clown anemonefish)
Lineage: Eukaryota; Metazoa; Chordata; Actinopteri; Pomacentridae
Exons: 2
Source: RefSeq, a predicted model, not a curated record
UACAGAAUCGAAUCAAACGGGACUAGCUGCAAAUCUGUAGGCCCACAUUAGCGCUUAACUUUAUCAAGGAAAUCUACACACUCCGCCGAGCCUACUUGGAAACUUUCUGGCUCGCACGGUCUGUGAAUUCUCCAAUGCAAUAAAACGACAACUCGAAGUUUGUGGGGGUGGAAAUGGACACAGAGAUAAUUAUCCAACAUGUAAAAAUGGAUUAUGAGUUACACCACAGAUGGAGGGAAACAAGUUACACGGGGAAGGAAGCAAUUAAAUAGCCAUGAGCCGGACCCAACCCUGCGCAACAUCUGCCGAGACCAGUAUUCAGCACUCCACAACUGACAAAUUAGUGUAAUGGACUAAUAGGGACGGAUAGAGGGAGUGAAUACAAUAAUAUGGCUGUUUAACACAGGCUGGCUAUUCUCAGGCAACCGGCUAGUCUGGAGAAACUUACCCAGAGACGUGGUCCUCAUCCUGGAGAGCGUCCGGUCCACACUGAGGGAGACUGAGCAACAGAGAUGGUCUGUACCGGUCAAGUAACACUUACAGCCUGCAAAGAGAGAGUCAGACGAAGCCUCGCCGUCAGUGCGAUUAUAUGUUAUGUGCAAUAUACUGUCAACUCCCCAAAACCAUAAAACUUACUUUAAUGGCUACCACGUGACCGUUUAUGGCCAGUGAGCCUAUCUGGCCGCUCUUCGGAUGAUUUUUACGAUCUAAUUCAUAGACAAAACCCCCAUUCAUUUAGCACCCAAAUGUCAGAGAGCCAGAAUCGGCCCUAAUAAAGUUUACAGCUUGAAAAGUCGAGCCAAUUCCCCGGGAAUAGCUCGGGAGCCCCGUGCGCAAAGGGGACGUCCGGCCCCUGAAGCCUGUUUAGUGACCAAGGACCCCCACAAAGCCCCCAGCGCCACAGCAAGCCGUUUCUGACUCCGCGCUCCGACUGUCUCCAGUUUCGGGCUCCUCGGCCUCGGACACCACCGGAGCAUCGCCGGGCUUUUCUCCGGGAUUCGACUCCGAUUCGUCCUUGUGGUCUUUCUUCCACUUCAUCCUGCGGUUCUGAAACCAGAUUUUGAUCUGUCUCUCGGUGAGGCACAGGGCGUGGGAGAUCUCCACCCUCCUCCUGCGGGUCAGGUACCGGUUGAAGUGGAACUCCUUCUCCAGCUCCAGGGUCUGGUACCGGGAGUAGGUCUGCCGCCCCCGCUUUCGAUUUGGCUCUGCGGAAGUCGAGAACUGUGUAUAACUUAAUACCUGUCUGCAUGCGUGAAAUAAAACACUGCAUGAAGCAUUAAUUAAAAUGUUGUUGAAGCUGGUAUUGACAAUAAAAACCUGCAGCAGAAAACA